GACGUAGGGUGCAAGCGUUGUCCGGAUUUACUGGGCGUAAAGGGCGCGUAGGCGGCCUGUUAAGUGUGAAGUGAAAUCUCCAGAGCUCAACUCGGAAACUGCUUCGCAUACUGGCAGGCUUGAGGAACGAAGAGGUAACUGGAAUUCCUGGUGUAACGGUGAAAUGUGUUGAUAUCAGGAGGAACUCCAAUGGCGAAGGCAGGUUACUGGUCGUUAUCUGACGCUGAGGCGCGAAAGCGUGGGUAGCAAACAGG
This 254-nucleotide ribosomal RNA is filed under the name uncultured bacterium. RNAcentral's name for it is "partial 16S ribosomal RNA". It matches the Rfam family "Bacterial small subunit ribosomal RNA", at positions 524 to 776 of the family's 1533-position model. The record is from RNAcentral.